AGCCGUGCUAGACGGGGAGGUAGCGGUGCCCUGUAACCCGCAAUCCGCUAUAGCGGGGUUGAAGUCCUGCCUGCGGCCUUUUUUCAUAAGGUCUGACCGGCGCAAGUGGCGUUGAAGAGCGGGUCCUGCGCAACGGAAACUUGUGAACCCCGUCAGGUCCGGGAGGAAGCAGCGGUAAGCAAGCCCUUUCGUGUGCCGCAGGGGAGCCUGUUCCGAGUUAACUACGUUGGUAACGCUUGGGAGAAAAGAGUCAAAGGCGGGUGCACGGCA
Molecule: signal recognition particle RNA, 270 nt
Rfam family: Bacterial large signal recognition particle RNA
About the family: The signal recognition particle (SRP) is a universally conserved ribonucleoprotein involved in the co-translational targeting of proteins to membranes. Archaeal SRP consists of a 7S RNA and homologues of the eukaryotic SRP19 and SRP54 proteins. In most bacteria, the SRP consists of a 4.5S RNA and the Ffh protein (a homologue of the eukaryotic SRP54 protein).